Molecule: ribosomal RNA, 497 nt
Filed under: uncultured bacterium
Lineage: Bacteria
Description: partial 16S ribosomal RNA
Rfam family: Bacterial small subunit ribosomal RNA
Source: RNAcentral
GAUGAACGCUGGCGGCGUGCCUAAUACAUGCAAGCCGAGCGAACGGACGAGAAGCUUGCUUCUCUGAUGUUAGCGGCGGACGGGUGAGUAACACGUGGAUAACCUACCUAUAAGACUGGGAUAACUUCGGGAAACCGUAGCUAAUACCGGAUAAUAUUUUGAACCGCAUGGUUCAAAAGUGAAAGACGGUCUUGCUGUCACUUAUAGAUGGAUCCGCGCUGCAUUAGCUAGUUGGUAAGGUAACGGCUUACCAAGGCAACGAUGCAUAGCCGACCUGAGAGGGUGAUCGGCCACACUGGAACUGAGACACGGUCCAGACUCCUACGGGAGGCAGCAGUAGGGAAUCUUCCGCAAUGGGCGAAAGCCUGACGGAGCAACGCCGCGUGAGUGAUGAAGGUCUUCGGAUCGUAAAACUCUGUUAUUAGGGAAGAACAUAUGUGUAAGUAACUGUGCACAUCUUGACGGUACCUAAUCAGAAAGCCACGGCCAACUACGUG